RNAcentral lists this small RNA (4138 nucleotides) under Pan troglodytes (chimpanzee). Its description in RNAcentral is "retained intron". The record is from RNAcentral. Lineage: Eukaryota; Metazoa; Chordata; Mammalia; Primates; Hominidae.
GCGUGCCCGCGCUGAGGGCUGGCGUCGUGGCAAGUGGCACCGGGCCUCUUUGUGCAGCGCCUUGCUGACGCCCAGGGUUCUGAUGUAGAAGCCUACACCAGGGCCUGAGGUUGUGAAACUCAUGGCAGUCCACGCCUGAGAAGAGAAGGCCUGAAAGAGAAGGAAGAACCCAUGGGACUUGCCACGGUUUUGACUUAUAUCUGCAACUCCAAGGCUACAGGCGGGAAGUAAGAACAGUGCUCAAGUGGCAGCAGAUACUGACUAUGGCUUCAUUUCACAGCUUCACACAGCAGGGUAGCAGAAAACAAAGAAUGUAAGAUUGGACACAGUUGCUGCUGUUCACCAACUCUGUGAUCUUCAAAAAGCCAUAUAGCUUCUCCAGACCUGUUAAUCAGGGAAGAAGCAGAUAACUGAAGGCUGGCUUUGAGAAGUUUCGAGGUAACAUAGGAACCUGCUUACGCAGGCACUCUUUCCAUCUGACUUGGGCCAAGGUGCUCCGAGAUUGACAAGCAGCCAGCCUCUGGGAGAGCACUCUGAUCAGAUCAUUGAUAGAACAUUCACUACUCUACUUAUCAUACCCAUUUACUUAUCUCCAUCUUCUGUUAGACUCCUUAAAAACAGCAGCCCACAGCAGGUGUGGGGAUAAAACAGUCCUGGGCAGUGCUCAUUGUACUCACACUAUGCCAGGCACUGUGCCAGGAACAUUCAAAUUUCUAAGAAUCUACAAAGUAGAUACCUCAUUAUACAUCUUACAGAGAGCAUCAUUGGUGUUUCCAAGGUCACAGGGCUAGGCAAGGGUGGAACCCUGAGUCUGCUUGUCUGUUUGCCCCAUUACAGCCCAGGGGUGGUGGCCUCACCCCACCUCCAGGCACCCACAAGAAUAUAAAAUCUUGUACAAGGAUGUCGAUAUUACUAUUGCCAUUCCCAAGUGCACCUGCACCUGUAGUAUCAGGUGGUUUGCAGCCUUGGCUGCAUAGCUGCAUAUGAGAAUCACCUGGGAAGCUUUUAAAAAUCCCAGUAUCCCCACCUCUUCCCCAGUUACAGUGGAGUCUUGCGGGUGGUGAGGGACAUCAUUAUUUUUGAAGCUUCCAAGUAAUUCUGGUGUGCAGUGGGGUGACCAGCUGUCCCAGGGACCUCCUUUAAAAAAUAAUAUCCCGGGCGCAUGACAGGCCAAUUGCCCUAAUGCAACCAAGGUUAAGAACUACUGGUUUAAUGGGAGAUAUUUUUUCUGUGCUCGAUUAUACUGUUUUAUUAAACUCUGAAUCCAUUUCUUUCUGCAAAUUUUUAAGGCAAAAAAGAAAUGCGAAAAUAUACGUCUCAUUUUUAGCACCUUUAGAGACCUGGAGUCAUUUGAUGUGCUUCAUGACUUAAAAUUUUGUAAUAUGCCUUGUGAUACUACCUUAUUUUUACCAUAUAUAUUUUUUAAUGCUUAACAAGAGCAUAUUUGCUCUUUCACAUUUUUUUCACAUACAAAGUUUUAGACAUCAAGCACUCUAAAUUCUUUUUUACAAAUACUUUUUUCUUAAAAUGUUAAGAAAAAGCCUAUAAUAUCACUUCCUUUGUUUUCUGAUGUAGACUCAGUUGAUGUGCACAGCAGUGUCAAGUCAAUCUCCAAAAUACUCCCUGUAGACAGGGUGGGGAGAAGACCCUCACUUCCUGCCUACUAAUGAACUCAUGUUGAUAUAGACCUUUGCCUCAUCAGAUUCAUUUGUUAAGCUAACCAGUGUCUGCUUCUCUGGACAUUACUGGACUCUUCUACCUGUGAAGCCAUCUUAAAAAAAUAUAUUGAGUGAUUUCUUAACGAAACAUCUACUCUUUGCCAAGCAUAAAGUUACCUCCCACUUGUAUACACCCUUUUCUCAUUUGUCCUCACAUCAGCUGUAUAAAUGAGAAAUAUUCACAUUUUAUGAGUGAGAACAUUCAGGCUCAGAUAGGUUAACAAGUUUGAAAUCAUGUGCUAGUAAACCAAACACCUAGGUUUUGAACCUUGUUCUUCUUGUCCCAAGGUCAUUAUUCUCUACUGUGUUACACUCAGCUGCUUUCACCUGGAAAAGCAGAGGAAUCAGGCUGUCUCCUGCAGCUGUCUUGGUCCAUUCUGCUGCCCAAGCAGUACACUUGGUUUCAGAUGAAAAUCUAGGAUCCCAAGGAUGGGUACAUUUGUCGGCAGCAUUUGGAAGUAUUUUUCGUCAUCAGGAUGGCAGUGAAUUUGCAAUUCAGUCAUCUCAGUGCAAGGUAGUUUGGCAAAAAGAUUAUGACACUUAAUGGAUUUUUUUCCUCUUUUAAAUCUGUUUACCCAGAAUUUUGUAGUAUAAUGCAAUGUAAUAACAUUGCAUUAUUUUGAGCAUAGUUUAGAAGCCAAGAAGAUACUUUCAAACAGGUGACAUAAUUCAGUUAUGGCCCAGAUGUCCUGCCUUCCCCAUCACACAUUCAUAUUAAUGGUCUUAGAAAGCUGUUUCUGAGGCAACAGUUUCUUCCUCAAUAUCAUCCUACUGGGGAAAUUUUGGCAGUUGAUGUCUAAUGUUGAUUUUUUUUUCCUGAUCGAUUUUAAUUGUUUACUGGGCACUUUGGGGUAGAAUUGUUUUAAAAAUUUGGUUACUGGGAAAGCUAGACAAGCCUUUGCUGUGGUGAAAGAGACAGAAGGAAUAUAGAUAUAAUUUGUAAGUGGUUAUGCCAUUGGGCUUAAUGCUUUGCAUACAUUAUCUAGUUUGCAUCUCCUGAUCGCCCUUUAAGUUUGCUUACGGUAAAGCAUUAUUCCUUGCUUGGCAAUGCACAGAGAAAAAUUAUUUGCUCAAGGACCCUGCAAAUGAGGGACAGGAUCAGAGUUGGAACUGUAAACUUUUCCACUCCAUUUCAUGUGAUCUUCAUGGGUACAGCAGCUAUACCCUGCCCCAGCAAUGAGUAUGGUAGAGCCACAUUCAAAGGAGGACUUUGGGGUCAGAAUUCCUAAAAAGAGCUGCUUAAGUUUGCUUCUACAUCCAAAAACGAUGCAGUCACAGUCAACUAACACUGAGCUUGCUGGGCAUCUCCUGAACAGAAAUGUAUGUGGUGGUCCAUGUAGCAUGUAUGCGAUAUAAUUGGCCACCCACCUUUCCUUUUCACAUUAACAUUUAUCACAGAAACACAUUCAUUUGCUACAGGGAUAUUUCACACUUUGGCUGAACUUUGAGAGAAGUGGGUGAGGAAAAGGUAGUUUAGUAACUAGUUUAUAUAUAAACCUAAAUUGUAGUGAGUACUCUUGUAGUUGGAGCAUCUUUUCUAUGGUAAUUAUAAAUGGCUGUUAGCCCCUUUGCACUAAAGCUAGGUGGGUGGUUUUGCCACAGAGGUAAAUUAUCUUUCGGGCGGUAUAACCAAACAAAUAAAAUAUAAAGUGAGAUUCAGGGCAUGUUCUGAAUACAGCAGUUAAUUAGGCAGCUAAGGAAACUGUAUUUUAGCCCCUCUGACUAUGUGAUUGGUAUUUUUUUAAAUUAAAAAAUGGAAAAUAAUAUUUUUAACAGCUUAUGAUAUGUCAUUUAAUCCUCACAGUAACUCUGUGGGGUAGGUAGGUACUGUUUCUAUCUCAUUUUACAGGUGAGGAAUCAAAACAGUUGGUAUACCCAGGUUGUAUAUCUAGAAAGUGAUAGAGCUGGGAUUUUAAACCUUAUUAUCUGAUUCCAGAAUCUCUAGCUUUAAACACUAUGUUACCACUUACUUCUCUUCGAAUUUUAUUGAGCUUUAGAUGUUUCCAGUAUUUAGAAGUCAAAUGCUUCGUUUUUAAUAGGAACUUACACAGUCUUUUAUGUUUUUUUAUAGCCCUCAAUGUCACUGAUGUGGAUUCUCCCAAACUCGAUACUUUGUUUGUUUUUAUGUCCCCAUAAUAAGUCUUUAAGAAAACAGGGCAAGUGAGCUCAAAAUCAAAAGAAAACCCACCAACAGUGAAUGCAUUCAGGGCUAUUUCCAGGUCUUUCCUUUGAAGAAAGAUAAGACUCAGUCCAGAGAGCACAUCUGUGACACACUGUGCCUCUUGCCUUUGGUGCGUGGCAGUCAUCUUUGGCUCAUGCUGUACAUUAUUCUACAUUAGAAAACUCACUGUAUGUUGCUAAAUAAUUUUUUGAAAACAGGCAAAUUAAUAAAUGGACAUCUUAUUUAUUGCACCAUAAAA